RNAcentral lists this ribosomal RNA (91 nucleotides) under Vibrio antiquarius. RNAcentral's name for it is "partial 16S ribosomal RNA". It matches the Rfam family "Bacterial small subunit ribosomal RNA", at positions 1 to 87 of the family's 1533-position model. Lineage: Bacteria; Pseudomonadati; Pseudomonadota; Gammaproteobacteria; Vibrionales; Vibrionaceae. The record is from RNAcentral.
CUUAAAUUGAAGAGUUUGAUCAUGGCUCAGAUUGAACGCUGGCGGCAGGCCUAACACAUGCAAGUCGAGCGGAAACGAGUUAUCUGAACCU